This 1093-nucleotide ribosomal RNA is filed under the name uncultured organism. RNAcentral's name for it is "bacterial SSU rRNA". It matches the Rfam family "Bacterial small subunit ribosomal RNA", at positions 243 to 1353 of the family's 1533-position model. The record is from RNAcentral.
AGCUUGUUGGUGAGGUAAUGGCUCACCAAGGCGACGACGGUUAGGUGGUCUGAGAGGACGAUCACCCACACUGGGACUGAGACACUGCCCCGACUCCUACGGGAGGCUGCAGUCGAGAAUCUUCCGCAAUGGGGGCAACCCUGACGGAGCGAUGCUGCGUGCCGGAUGAAGGUCUUCGGAUCGUAAACGGCUGUCACUCGGGACGAAUUUUGACGGUACCGAGAGAGGAAGCCACGGCUAACUACGUGCCAGCAGCCGCGGUAAUACGUAGGUGGCGAGCGUUAUUCGGAUUUAUUGGGCGUAAAGGGUCCGUAGGGGGUUGCGCGUGUCUGGUGUGAAAUCCCACGGCUCAACUGUGGAACUGCAUUGGAAACUGUGCAACUAGAGUAUCGGAGAGGUAAGUGGAAUUCCUGGUGUAGCGGUGGAAUGCGUAGAUAUCAGGAAGAACACCGAUGGCGAAGGCAGCUUACUGGACGAUAACUGACCCUGAGGGACGAAAGCUAGGGUAGCAAACAGGAUUAGAUACCCUGGUAGUCUUAGCUGUAAACGUUGUGCACUAGGUGUAGGCGGAUUUGGUCCCGUCUGUGCCCCAGUUAACGCGAUAAGUGCACCGCCUGGGGAGUACGGCCGCAAGGCUAAAACUCAAAGGAAUUGACGGGGGCCCGCACAAGCGGUGGAGCAUGUGGCUUAAUUCGAGGCAACGCGAAGAACCUUACCUGGGCUUGACAUAUAGCCGAUCGCCCUGGAAACAGGGUUUCUCUUCGGAGCGUCUAUACAGGUGCUGCAUGGCUGUCGUCAGCUCGUGCCGUGAGGUGUUCGGUUAAGUCCGGCAACGAGCGCAACCCAUGCUGCCAGUUACCAGCGAGUGAGGUCGGGGACUCUGGCAGGACUGCCCGUGCUAAGCGGGAGGAAGGCGUGGACGACGUCAAGUCCGUAUGGCCCUUACGCCCAGGGCUGCACACGUGCUACAAUGGCCGGUACAGAGGGACGCCACUCCGCGAGGAGGAGCCAAUCCCGAAACCCGGCCCCAGUUCGGAUUGGAGUCUGCAACUCGACUCCAUGAAGUCGGAAUCGCUAGUAAAGGCGUAUCAGC